CCUACGGGAGGCAGCAGUAGGGAAUCUUCCACAAUGGGCGAAAGCCUGAUGGAGCAACGCCGCGUGGGUGAAGAAGGUCUUCGGAUCGUAAAACCCUGUUGUUAGAGAAGAAAGUGCGUGAGAGUAACUGUUCACGUUUCGACGGUAUCUAACCAGAACGCCACGGCUAACUACGUGCCAGCAGCCGCGGUCAUACGUAGGUGGCAAGCGUUAUCCGGAUUUAUGGGGCGUAAAGGGAACGCAGGCGGUCUUUUAAGUCUGAUGUGAAAGCCUUCGGCUUAACCGGAGUAGUGCAUUGGAAACUGGGAGACUUGAGUGCAGAAGAGGAGAGUGGAACUCCAUGUGUAGCGGUGAAAUGCGUAGAUAUAUGGAAGAACACCAGUGGCGAAAGCGGCUCUCUGGUCUGUAACUGACGCUGAGGUUCGAAAGCGUGGGUAGCAAACAGGAUUAGAUACCCCGGUAGUC
Molecule: ribosomal RNA, 465 nt
Filed under: uncultured bacterium
Lineage: Bacteria
Description: partial 16S ribosomal RNA
Rfam family: Bacterial small subunit ribosomal RNA
Source: RNAcentral